GCGCCUAUAGCUCAGCGGAUAGAGCGUCUGGCUUCGAACCAGAAGGUCGGGGGUUCAAGUCCCUCUGGGCGCACCA
RNAcentral lists this transfer RNA (76 nucleotides) under Candidatus Berkelbacteria bacterium. RNAcentral's name for it is "tRNA-Arg". It matches the Rfam family "tRNA". From Rfam's summary of the family: Transfer RNA (tRNA) molecules are approximately 80 nucleotides in length. Their secondary structure includes four short double-helical elements and three loops (D, anti-codon, and T loops). The record is from RNAcentral. Lineage: Bacteria; Candidatus Berkelbacteria. RNAcentral also lists the same sequence under 1 other name.